RNAcentral lists this ribosomal RNA (1556 nucleotides) under Escherichia coli. RNAcentral describes it as "bacterial SSU rRNA". It matches the Rfam family "Bacterial small subunit ribosomal RNA". The record is from RNAcentral. Lineage: Bacteria; Pseudomonadati; Pseudomonadota; Gammaproteobacteria; Enterobacterales; Enterobacteriaceae.
UUAAAUUGAAGAGUUUGAUCAUGGCUCAGAUUGAACGCUGGCGGCAGGCCUAACACAUGCAAGUCGAACGGUAACAGGAAGCAGCUUGCUGCUUUGCUGACGAGUGGCGGACGGGUGAGUAAUGUCUGGGAAACUGCCUGAUGGAGGGGGAUAACUACUGGAAACGGUAGCUAAUACCGCAUAACGUCGCAAGACCAAAGAGGGGGACCUUCGGGCCUCUUGCCAUCGGAUGUGCCCAGAUGGGAUUAGCUAGUAGGUGGGGUAACGGCUCACCUAGGCGACGAUCCCUAGCUGGUCUGAGAGGAUGACCAGCCACACUGGAACUGAGACACGGUCCAGACUCCUACGGGAGGCAGCAGUGGGGAAUAUUGCACAAUGGGCGCAAGCCUGAUGCAGCCAUGCCGCGUGUAUGAAGAAGGCCUUCGGGUUGUAAAGUACUUUCAGCGGGGAGGAAGGGAGUAAAGUUAAUACCUUUGCUCAUUGACGUUACCCGCAGAAGAAGCACCGGCUAACUCCGUGCCAGCAGCCGCGGUAAUACGGAGGGUGCAAGCGUUAAUCGGAAUUACUGGGCGUAAAGCGCACGCAGGCGGUUUGUUAAGUCAGAUGUGAAAUCCCCGGGCUCAACCUGGGAACUGCAUCUGAUACUGGCAAGCUUGAGUCUCGUAGAGGGGGGUAGAAUUCCAGGUGUAGCGGUGAAAUGCGUAGAGAUCUGGAGGAAUACCGGUGGCGAAGGCGGCCCCCUGGACGAAGACUGACGCUCAGGUGCGAAAGCGUGGGGAGCAAACAGGAUUAGAUACCCUGGUAGUCCACGCCGUAAACGAUGUCGACUUGGAGGUUGUGCCCUUGAGGCGUGGCUUCCGGAGCUAACGUGUUAAGUCGACCGCCUGGGGAGUACGGCCGCAAGGUUAAAACUCAAAUGAAUUGACGGGGGCCCGCACAAGCGGUGGAGCAUGUGGUUUAAUUCGAUGCAACGCGAAGAACCUUACCUGGUCUUGACAUCCACGGAAGUUUUCAGAGAUGAGAAUGUGCCUUCGGGAACCGUGAGACAGGUGCUGCAUGGCUGUCGUCAGCUCGUGUUGUGAAAUGUUGGGUUAAGUCCCGCAACGAGCGCAACCCUUAUCCUUUGUUGCCAGCGGUCCGGCCGGGAACUCAAAGGAGACUGCCAGUGAUAAACUGGAGGAAGGUGGGGAUGACGUCAAGUCAUCAUGGCCCUUACGACCAGGGCUACACACGUGCUACAAUGGCGCAUACAAAGAGAAGCGACCUUGCGAGAGCAAGCGGACCUCAUAAAGUGCGUCGUAGUCCGGAUUGGAGUCUGCAACUCGACUCCAUGAAGUCGGAAUCGCUAGUAAUCGUGGAUCAGAAUGCCACGGUGAAUACGUUCCCGGGCCUUGUACACACCGCCCGUCACACCAUGGGAGUGGGUUGCAAAAGAAGUAGGUAGCUUAACCUUCGGGAGGGCGCUUACCACUUUGUGAUUCAUGACUGGGGUGAAGUCGUAACAAGGUAACCGUAGGGGAACCUGCGGUUGGAUCACCUCCUUACCUUAAAGAAGC